UCUUCCUGCAAAUGCCCAGAAGCAGCCGAGGUCCAAGGCAGAUGGACGUCCGGGCUCACCCAGUCAACCUGAAAAGACUAAGGGCCGGAACCAAGCCAACAGACUCUGGCCGAAAACCUGGAAGAACCUGGAGAACCCAGAUGAAAUCAUCAAGGUCAUUGCCCACUUGGAAACUAGGCCAGCCAGGGGCAGAAGGCCACGCCGGGGGAACAGAGCAGCCCGGGGCCUCAGGAGGCAAGCACUGUUCUCCACAAGCCCCACCUGCCCUGAUGGCACAUCCUUGAUUCCAAUCCAGAAGGACCCUGCAGAGAGAAGCCCAGAGAAGGCAGCCGGCCCACAGCCAUUGCUUAUCCCGGAGAAUCCCACUCCCUCCAAUAGGGGCCUGGCCACAAUCCCCCAAGCCACACCUACUCCGAGUGAA
Molecule: long non-coding RNA, 421 nt
Filed under: Rattus norvegicus (Norway rat)
Lineage: Eukaryota; Metazoa; Chordata; Mammalia; Rodentia; Muridae
Description: long non-coding RNA NONRATT014356
Source: RNAcentral